This is an RNA transcript of Pan troglodytes (chimpanzee), 4649 nucleotides long. It is a transcript of the gene named RNA guanylyltransferase and 5'-phosphatase, with no coding region annotated. NCBI's taxonomy places the organism in Eukaryota, Metazoa, Chordata, Mammalia, Primates, Hominidae. The transcript is spliced from 17 exons. The record is from RefSeq and is a predicted model, not a curated record.
GCGGGGCGGGGCGGGGCGGUGCCGAGCGGGGCGAGAGAAGGCCCGCUCCUCCCAUUCGUCGCGUCCUUAACUCUUUGCUAUCCUUCCGCUGAGCUUCCUCUUCUUUCCCUCCGACCUCGGAAAGGGGGCGGGGCUUUCGGGGGCGGAAGUUGCGGUGCAUUGUGGGUUCUCCUGGAGCUGUGGAGUUGAUCCUGAAUGAAAGUGGCGCGCCGCCCCUGACGUUACCCGGAUUGGAGAGGUUGGAAUUCAGAUUACGGCUGCGAUUCGGGUGUCUCGGACCCCGGUGUGCACCGGACCACGGGGAGGCGGCUCCAAAGGCGCGGCGAACGUUGGUGAGGGAGGGCAGCUCUGCGCAGCCCCAAGACAUGGCUCACAACAAGAUCCCGCCGCGGUGGCUGAACUGUCCCCGGCGCGGCCAGCCGGUGGCAGGAAGAUUCUUACCUCUGAAGACAAUGUUAGGACCAAGAUAUGAUAGUCAAGUUGCUGAAGAAAAUCGGUUCCAUCCCAGCAUGCUCUCAAAUUACCUAAAGAGCCUAAAGGUUAAAAUGGGCUUGUUGGUGGACCUGACAAAUACUUCAAGGUUCUAUGACCGAAAUGACAUAGAAAAAGAAGGAAUCAAAUAUAUAAAACUUCAGUGUAAAGGACAUGGUGAGUGCCCUACCACUGAGAAUACUGAGACCUUUAUUCGUCUGUGUGAGCGGUUUAAUGAAAGAAAUCCACCUGAACUUAUAGGUGUUCAUUGUACUCAUGGCUUCAAUCGCACUGGUUUCCUCAUAUGUGCCUUUUUGGUGGAGAAAAUGGAUUGGAGUAUCGAAGCAGCAGUUGCUACUUUUGCCCAAGCCAGACCACCAGGAAUCUACAAGGGUGAUUAUUUGAAGGAACUUUUUCGUCGGUAUGGUGACAUAGAGGAAGCACCACCCCCACCUCUAUUGCCAGAUUGGUGUUUUGAGGAUGAUGAAGACGAAGAUGAGGAUGAGGAUGGAAAGAAGGAAUCAGAACCCGGGUCAAGUGCUUCUUUUGGCAAAAGGAGAAAAGAACGGUUAAAACUGGGCGCUAUUUUCUUGGAAGGUGUUACUGUUAAAGGUGUAACUCAAGUAACAACACAACCAAAGUUAGGAGAGGUACAGCAGAAGUGUCAUCAAUUCUGUGGCUGGGAAGGGUCUGGAUUCCCUGGAGCACAGCCUGUUUCCAUGGACAAGCAAAAUAUUAAACUUUUAGACCUGAAGCCGUACAAAGUAAGCUGGAAAGCAGAUGGUACUCGGUACAUGAUGUUGAUUGAUGGCACAAAUGAAGUUUUUAUGAUUGAUAGAGACAAUUCAGUAUUUCAUGUUUCAAAUCUGGAAUUUCCAUUUCGUAAAGAUCUUCGUAUGCAUUUAUCAAAUACUCUCUUGGAUGGCGAGAUGAUUAUUGACAGAGUAAAUGGACAGGCUGUUCCUAGAUAUUUGAUAUAUGACAUAAUUAAAUUCAAUUCACAGCCCGUUGGAGAUUGUGAUUUUAAUGUUCGUCUGCAGUGUAUAGAACGAGAAAUUAUAAGUCCUCGACACGAAAAAAUGAAGACUGGGCUCAUUGACAAAACACAGGAACCAUUUAGCGUCAGAAAUAAGCCGUUUUUUGACAUCUGUACUUCAAGAAAGCUACUUGAAGGAAAUUUUGCCAAAGAAGUGAGCCAUGAAAUGGAUGGACUUAUUUUUCAGCCUACUGGAAAAUACAAACCUGGUCGAUGUGAUGAUAUUUUGAAAUGGAAGCCUCCCAGUCUGAAUUCUGUGGAUUUUCGUCUAAAAAUAACAAGAAUGGGAGGAGAAGGGUUACUUCCUCAGAAUGUUGGCCUCCUGUAUGUUGGAGGUUAUGAAAGACCCUUUGCACAAAUCAAGGUCAAGCCAUGGAAGAUUCUUCUUUUCCGUAGUUGUUAUUUCAGGUGACAAAAGAGCUGAAACAGUAUGACAACAAAAUUAUAGAAUGCAAAUUUGAGAACAACAGCUGGGUCUUCAUGAGACAGAGAACAGACAAAAGUUUUCCUAAUGCCUACAACACUGCCAUGGCUGUGUGUAACAGCAUCUCAAACCCUGUCACCAAGGAGAUGCUGUUUGAGUUCAUCGACAGAUGUACUGCAGCUUCUCAAGGACAGAAGCGAAAACAUCAUCUGGACCCUGACACGGAGCUCAUGCCACCACCACCUCCCAAAAGACCACGCCCUUUAACCUAAGACCUGCCUGUGACUUCAGGGUUAAGAAGAAAGAGGAAUGAGGGGAAAACGCUGUUGCCCAUUUUUGUAGCCAGAGAAAUUGAAAAAUGACUGUGGCUUGAUGUUGAUACACAUUUGAAUUUUUUUUAAAAAAAGAAAGGUAUCGUAGCCAGCCUGUAAAUACUUGAUGCAUUCGUUUCCUCAGUGCUGCAAUACAUCAUGGACUUAAACAUUUUAUUUAUCUGAUAAACUCAGCCUUACCUUGUGGAAUCUGAAGAUUGAAAUAUCCAAAGGUUUAAACAAGAUGGAAAUCAAUGAAAAAGAGGCCUUGUUUAUAUAUGGGUAACUUCACAUUUAAUUUAUAAAGUUAACAAUCUGAAAACUGUGAGCCCAUAAAACAGUAUUUUUUAGAAGUUGUGUUACAACUGUAGCAAAUUUUCCUUUUAAAAAAUCCAGGCAAUGGCAUUAAACAUUCUUGCUAUCAUUUACCAUGGAUUUCCUACAUUUCUGAGAUCCCUGUAUUCAAAAACAAAUGACAGGGUUGUUAAGUUGUACUAUAUUAAACAACUUGGUCUGGUUUAUAUCAUUUUAACAAGUUUUUUGGAAAUGUAAAAGAAAAAAGUAAAGCUCCGUUUUUGUGAAUUGCAUUGUUUCUAAAGGAAGUAUUUUGAGUAUUUUCAUCUGUUUGUAUUGUUUCGACUAUGAUAUCAGAUAUCCAGUGUGUCCAUUCUGGCAGUGGUUUUGAGUUACUUCAUGGAACUUGGACAUACACCACCAGGUCCUUUAUGUGUUGUUCUCCUGGGAGACUUUUUUUUUUUAAAUGCCAGGGCUACUUCUGCUUUACCUCAGUGGUAUCAGCACAUUGUAAAUUACGUUAAAACACACAACUCACUGUGAUCUAUGGGAGUGAUAUCAAAUACAAACGAUGUUGUGUUACUUCUCUCGAACAAAACAGCAAAGGGAAUGCCAGCUAACUUCUUUGAUUAGAAGGUAAUGUCAUGGAAUAGAAUGCUGUCACUAGAAAAUGCUCUCCCACUGCUAGAUAAAUGCAGAGGCAAAGUGUAGACAUCUGUAGGAACUAAAUAUCAAGGAAAUCAAGACAUUUAUUUUCAAAGCGAGAAUUCUAUCUACAUUGUAUUCUGUGGAUGUUAUUUCUGUUAUACAUCUGAAUUUUAAAAUGUUUACUGAUAGAUAAUGGAUUUAAAGGGCGGCUAAUUGAUUGUCUGCCAUUGUUGAUAAACUGUUCCAAUUGGUUUGUGAAAGAACUCUGAGAAUUAGCUAAAUGGAGGCUAGUGUAUUUAUUUUUAGAGGUACAUGUUUUAAGUAAAUGUAUUUAAAACAAAUUUUCAUGGUCUGAAUUGUAUAUGUAAAUGCAUAUCUGUGUAAGUAUAUGCAAGUGUAUAUUCUUCUACUGAUUCAGUCAGACACGAAAUCCAACUGAAUUACCUGGUAGACUGAAUAUCUGACAGGAUUUCUAUAUGGACAUAGCACAGAUGAACCAAAAAUGUAUUUAUAUUCACCUGAGUUUUAAUGUUUUUAAACAAAGUUUUCUCCUGCAGUGCUUUUCUAUAUGAAAUAGUUGAGUCAAGCUUGGGCUUUUUUCUUCGUUGUUCCCAAGUCAUGUAAUGUAUAGUGAAUUUAUCCAAAAUGCCAUUGUAACGUUUUUUACUAGAGUGCUUUUGCACAUUUGGGCGCUAAAGGGAUUAAAACAACUGAUGCCACAAUGACUAUUGAAGGAGGGAAAAUUUUCAAGGUUCCAUAGUAUCUUUUACAAAAUGGAUUUAAAAAAAAUGCCUAUGCAACUCCAAAUAGUCUGAUGCCUGCUUCCCCAGGACGAGUGACUCUUCCACGGUGUGCUGCUUUCCUCCGAGCCUGUGGAAAGGCAGAGCCCUUUUGCAGAUACAAAAGCAAGCUUUUGCCAAUGAUCUUUAAUGGAGUUAAAAUGUUUAUGGUAAUUGUAACCUUUCAAAUGAGUUACGUGAAAAGAGCAUCUCACUUUUAAUACACCCAGAUAUUUUCUUCAAGUCUUUGUGCAUUUUAGCAGGACUUAAUUUUCUUAAUUUAUUCUUUCCUUUCAAUUAUAGUGACAUAGAGUAGUUGGCCUUAUAACUAGAUCCCAUUUAGCCCCUGAACAUAAUACCAUCUGCAGUAUUAUAAAAGUCAUUUAGAAGGUCAGGGGGAUAAUCUAGAGGCAGGAUUUUGGACAUUGUGAAGGAAAUGUGCUCCUUCUCAGCUCACUUCAAUAACUAUUUUCUGAGACUGAAGUUUUUUAGACAAGAAUAAGAAAACUUUGCUUUCUUCAGUUAUCACAUGUGAAAGCUUUUGCUUUUUGUUAGGAAAAGGUGUGGAUGACUCUACUGCGUGGAUGGUUACAUUUGCUUUCCGUGAAAUGCUCAGAAAAUGUCAGGACAUUCCUUUUCCAAUUGUGUGUCAGUGCGUAUUGUAAUAAAACUACUGAUUUAAAUUA